UGUGGCCAUAGGACAGUGGCAGUAAAGCGAACGCAGUUCGCUUUGCAGAUAUGUGGCUCUGCAUACGGGGGUCCGAUUCCCCCUGGUCACAU
Molecule: transfer RNA, 92 nt
Filed under: Acetatifactor muris
Lineage: Bacteria; Bacillati; Bacillota; Clostridia; Lachnospirales; Lachnospiraceae
Description: tRNA-Cys
Source: RNAcentral